GGAUUCCUUCUUAAAGCUUCGAUCCCUUGUCGGCGUAGCUGUCCAAUUUCCCUUGGCCAUGGAGACGACGACCACGAUCCUCCUCGCCGCUACCGAGGUCGAGGAGGAGUUCUUUGAGGUGCUGGGUGCCCGCCACCACCAUGGUCUUUCGACAGAUGUAGUUCCAGGAUCUGCCGGCAUUAUCUUUGACGAGAAGCGGAAAUGAUUGAAAGAGUGAAAGCAAGUCGUAAAUAUCAGAGUCGAGCACUUCUUUCAAAGGAAGGAGCAAGGUUUUGACCAUCGGACAUUAUAUAACACAAGAAACACAAAGAAGAUGGAUCACUGGAACAAAAAGGACUUCUUGAAGGCACAAUUAAUCAUUGUUUUUUUUUUUUUUUUGGAUUAUCAAGGAUGAUGAUUGGAUCAUAUUUGAAUAAAUAGCAAGAACACAUCUUCACUUUGUGUACCAUCCAAUUUUUAUUGGUGUCUGCGAAGGAAAAUUAUUAUUUUUGUUAUGAGUCUGACAUUUUUGUUAAAUCGUUGAUCGGAAAAGGAAAAAACUUAGUAUUUUGAUUUUCAUUCUGAUCAAUAUAAAAAAAUUUAAUAUUUUUUAUUUCUA
Musa acuminata AAA Group (dessert banana) is the source of this 598-nucleotide long non-coding RNA. RefSeq lists it as uncharacterized. The transcript is spliced from 2 exons. NCBI's taxonomy places the organism in Eukaryota, Viridiplantae, Streptophyta, Magnoliopsida, Zingiberales, Musaceae. The record is from RefSeq and is a predicted model, not a curated record.